Scaptodrosophila lebanonensis is the source of this 303-nucleotide long non-coding RNA. RefSeq lists it as uncharacterized. The record is from RefSeq and is a predicted model, not a curated record. Lineage: Eukaryota; Metazoa; Arthropoda; Insecta; Diptera; Drosophilidae. The transcript has 2 exons.
UGCGGGCGCCAUUUUUUUCAUUUGCGUUUUGUGUAACUUGUGUGCUGUGUUGCUGCCAAAUCAAUUCAUUGAUAAGGGUACUUUCAAACACAGACACCAUCGAAAAUUCCUUAGUGUGAGAAGCGCACGCGAGACGGACUGUACGACGAAUGGAAAACAAGUGUUGCCCCAUCAAUCUGAAGUGCUCAAAAUCGCGUAUGUAGUAGUGCACAAAAUACCGAGAGCGAAAUGGCGAAUUGAUUUUGGGAAAACAAAUCAGUAGUUUCUUAUAUCCUAAUAACAAUAUACUGAUUUAAUAGCAAA